CCAAAAUGAUGUAAAAAAUAUUCUGAAUUCCACCAUGUGGUUGAAAAAUUACGAGCUUUUUAACACUGAUUGGU
Achroia grisella is the source of this 74-nucleotide small nucleolar RNA. NCBI's taxonomy places the organism in Eukaryota, Metazoa, Arthropoda, Insecta, Lepidoptera, Pyralidae. The record is from RefSeq and is a predicted model, not a curated record.